This 230-nucleotide long non-coding RNA is filed under the name Capsella rubella. Its description in RNAcentral is "long non-coding RNA (CRUB_LNC003146)". The record is from RNAcentral. Lineage: Eukaryota; Viridiplantae; Streptophyta; Magnoliopsida; Brassicales; Brassicaceae.
GCAUAUGAGUGUUCUUAUUUUUUAAUAACACUAUAUAUAUAUAUAUAUACAUGCCAUUAUAUACUUAAUACAUAUCGGUUGACAAAGCUUAGUUAUGUAAUUAAUUAUAGAGAUAUGCAUACAUGUAUAGGCAAGCUUAUGCAAUUAGUAGUAAAAAUAAUUAAUUAUACAGAGAACUAAUUUAAAGAAAGAAAAAAAAAAGUUAGAAACAUUCCAUUAUGGAGAAGCCA